AGCUCUUCAACUCGUACUCUAAAAUUCUUCAUCUCCUCCUGUAAGGCAAAGGAUGCCAUGUGAAAUUCUUCAGAGAAGUCUGUUGGCUGCUAGUGGACCCAUGACCACUCCUACUGUCAGACUCACUGAAAUAUGCUAUUUUCUUUUAGCAGCAGGGAACAGCAUAAAUAGCAUCGGUGCUACAACUUUCUCCCCUUUUCUCAUCACUCUGACAGCUGGACUCUGUCUGUUUAUCAGGAUU
Molecule: long non-coding RNA, 241 nt
Organism: Pogoniulus pusillus (Red-fronted tinkerbird)
Lineage: Eukaryota; Metazoa; Chordata; Aves; Piciformes; Lybiidae
Exons: 3
Source: RefSeq, a predicted model, not a curated record